CAGUAGCCGCGGUAAUACGAAGGGUGCAAGCGUUAAUCGGAAUUACUGGGCGCAAAGCGUGCGUAGGCGGUGAGUUAAGUCUGCUGUGAAAUCCCCGGGCUCAACCUGGGAACUGCAUCUGUGACUGUAUAGCCAGAGUACGGUAGAGGGGGAUGGAAUUCCGCGUGUAGCAGUGAAAUGCGUAGAUAUGCGGAGGAACACCGAUGGCGAAGGCGGCCAUCUGGGACAACACUGACGCUGAGGCACGAAAGCGUGGGGAGCAAACAGGAUUAGAUACCCCAGUAGUCCCUGUCUCUUAUAC
Molecule: ribosomal RNA, 301 nt
Filed under: uncultured bacterium
Lineage: Bacteria
Description: partial 16S ribosomal RNA
Rfam family: Bacterial small subunit ribosomal RNA
Source: RNAcentral